Molecule: transfer RNA, 72 nt
Filed under: Ictidomys tridecemlineatus (thirteen-lined ground squirrel)
Lineage: Eukaryota; Metazoa; Chordata; Mammalia; Rodentia; Sciuridae
Description: Spermophilus tridecemlineatus (thirteen-lined ground squirrel) tRNA
Rfam family: tRNA
About the family: Transfer RNA (tRNA) molecules are approximately 80 nucleotides in length. Their secondary structure includes four short double-helical elements and three loops (D, anti-codon, and T loops).
Source: Rfam by way of RNAcentral
GAGGGUGCAGCUUAGUGGUAGAGUGCUUGCUUAGCAAGUGUAAAGCCCUGGGUUUAAUCCCCAGCACACACA